GGGUCAGUAGGUUGGUCGUGCCUCCGGUACGUACUGGUCUCACUGAUUCCUCCUUCCUGAAGAACCGUAAUGCCAUUAAUUUGGUGUUGCGGGGAAACAGGACUGUUACUUUGAAAAAAUUAGAGUGUUUAAAGCAAGAUAACGCUUGAAUACAUUAGCAUGGAAUAAUGAAAUAGGACGAUCGAUCCUAUUUUGUUGGUUUCUAGGAUUGACGUA
This 216-nucleotide ribosomal RNA is filed under the name Glomeromycotina sp. RNAcentral describes it as "partial small subunit ribosomal RNA". The stretch from base 40 to 216 matches the Rfam family "Eukaryotic small subunit ribosomal RNA", at positions 686 to 864 of the family's 1831-position model. Lineage: Eukaryota; Fungi; Glomeromycota. The record is from RNAcentral.